RNAcentral lists this ribosomal RNA (558 nucleotides) under Nibea albiflora (white flower croaker). Its description in RNAcentral is "partial 16S ribosomal RNA". It matches the Rfam family "Bacterial large subunit ribosomal RNA", at positions 592 to 1359 of the family's 2925-position model. The record is from RNAcentral. Lineage: Eukaryota; Metazoa; Chordata; Actinopteri; Sciaenidae.
UUCAUACUCGUACCUUUUGCAUCAUGAGUUAGCCAGAAAAUCUCAAGCAAAGAGCACUUUAGUUUGAUUCCCCGAAACUACGUGAGCUACUUCAAGACAGCCUAAAAUAGGGCGAACCCAUCUCUGUAGCAAAAGAGUGGGAUGAGCUUCGAGUAGCGGUGACAGACCUAUCGAACCUAGUUAUAGCUGGUUGCCUGAGAAAUGAAUAGAAGUUCAGCCUUUCGAGUUCUCCCCUCAACCCCGUCUUCACCCCCGGACAACCAAAGAAAUCGAAAGAGUUAGUUAAAGGGGGUACAGCCCCUUUAACACAAGAUACAACUUUCCCAGGAGGGUAGAGAUCACAUUCAAAUUCCAAGGUAAAAUGUUUUGGUGGGCCUAAGAGCAGCCACCCCUAUAGAAUGCGUUAAAGCUCAAAUAUAAUUACCACCCCUAAUCCUGACAACCCCAUCUUAACCCCCUAACCUUACCAGGCCGUCCCAUGCAACCAUGGGAGCGACCAUGCUAAUAUGAGUAAUAAGAGGGCAAAUCCGCCUCUCUCCACGCACAAGUGUAACUCGG